This 5154-nucleotide unclassified non-coding RNA is filed under the name Hevea brasiliensis (rubber tree). The record is from RNAcentral. Lineage: Eukaryota; Viridiplantae; Streptophyta; Magnoliopsida; Malpighiales; Euphorbiaceae.
AGGGACGUUGAGCCACAGAAUGCUCUUGCUCUGGUUCACAGAAUUUGUAUAUUAAUUUUAAUUUCGCGUUCUCUGCUUCCUCUUCAUGAGUUCGAUCGCCGAUACAAGGAUUGCCAAGCUUGGUUUUUUGGGGAGGAUAAGAUCAAAGCACCAGAAAUGAGCGGCUUUUAGUUGAGAAAGAGAAAACCCAACUACGGCCAAAUCCUUUUCAGCCGAUCACAACUUUCCUUGACUCCAGUGACUGCGCCAUUCUCCUCACCUACCUGAGAACGACCUUCGCCAAGGACCAAACUUAUCAGAAAAUUGCAGCAGUUAGGAGAGGGCGGCGAGAUCGGAAAUAUUGAAACACGCAACAAAGGCCUACCUUCAGCUAUUCUACAUCAACCUUCAGCCCAGCCUCCGGCGACGACGGUAACAGAAGACAGCAAUUUCAGUCCCUUUUUUCCGCUUCCAUCCAGCGUGUUUCUAAGAAUUCCAUUUUCAGUUGGUGAACUCCGUAACCUUUCCAAUAAAUUUCUUUUACCUUCCUUUUACUGUAAUAAUGCAUUCUGGAAGACGGGUGAGGGACAGCUAGAGAUUGCAUAGGAAUGGGAUUAUCCAAAUGCUAUUAAUAGUUGCUUAAUUUGGGACAAUGAUCUCACAGUUUGUGUUAAUUUCAGCUUCUAGGUUAAUUUAAGUCAAUAUCAGUGUCUAUUUGCAUGCACUUAUAAUCUUUAUAUGAAUUUGGAUUACCAUUUGGUGGUUUCUAUUUAUUGUGCAUUAGAUGUGACCUGUUCGCUGUGAAGUUGAAGUUUCUUCUGCAUAAGAUAUUAUGGCUUUUAAAAUCCUGUGAAUUAAUAAAAUCUGUAGAUUAAUGGCCUUUCUAUUCAGCUUUGGUUAUUGCUUUUCCAUUAUUCAGUAUUAUAUUAUAGCUGUUUUCACUUGGAAUAUUUACUUUCUUGGCAUGCUUAGUCAUUGACUGCCAACAGAGUUCAUGAUAUUCAGUAGAUAAAUUAUGUGUAAUGCAUUGUUUUGCCCAUAAGCUUCGAAAGGGCAGAUCUCCUGAGAAUAGAUGCUUCUAUGACUUAAAUUGAUGCUUUUACAAAUCUGCCACAUGCGCACAUAGUUAUAAGUUUAUAUGUAUUCUUUUUACCAUGCUACAUUACCACGAGUUUGAUCCCAAGUAUUUGGGGUUUAGUUGUAUGCGAAAUUUUGAAGUGAGCUUGAGCCUGUAAUUGUUUUGUUAAGCACUGGUAACUGACUAAUUUCAGCUUCACUUUCAAUCUAAUUUGGUUUUUGCAUCUUUCCUUUAGGUGAAUCUCAGUAUUAAGAAAACGAAGAAGAGGGGAGAUUUUCGCAUUUUCCAGUGAAUCCCAGUCAUAUAUAUCAUCUCAUUUUGCUCAGUACUUGUUCCCUGUCUUUUUUUCCUUUGGUUUUAGUUUCUAGGUUAUUUGAGAUUAUUCUCAGUUUCUAGGUUAAUUUCAAUUUCAAUUUCAAAUUCUUGCAUUUGGAAUCAGUAUUUUGAAAUUUGACUUGAAAUUUCAGCCCUCUAAUUCACUCAACCAAUUUUUUCUUGAAUGUUAGGUAAAUGUUGCUAGAUAUGGCAUAGGGAAAUAAAUAUCAUAAGCAAUCAAUGAUGGCUGCCACCUUAAUUUUACAUUAUGGCAAGUGCUGUGUGCAUUUAGAGGGUAGAGACUCAUAGGUUGUUCAUAGGAACUAAAUUUUUGAACUAAUUUGGAUAUGCAAUAUAUUGAUAUUAUAUAGUUAUUAUGUAUGCCUACAUUAAUUAUCUUAAUUCUUUGAGUCAUAGUUAUACAUUUUUCAUCAUCUAAAUUUUGCUUUAUGAUUGUACUGCAUUCUUAAAAUUUCUAUUUCAAAUUUCCAGGUGUUUGGUAAUAUGAUAUUCUCUUUCCAAUAGAUUUUAUUUUUUUCAUGGAGAUAGAUCUUGAGCUGCCUUCAAACGAGCAGGAGAAACUAAAUACCGGAUCAAAUAAAAGUAUUGAUGUCAUGGAUAGUGCAUACGGGUUGCAUGUUACUGAAGAGGAGAUAUAUUCUCCUACAGGUGAAUAUGUUGAGGAAGCCUGCAGGCCAAAUGAAAAUGAAUGUUGUACUGGUGAUGGAGAUCAUGUGGAAGGGAAUAUUGUCAGAGCUGAUGCUGUUAACAAAGGUGUAAUUAUUGAGCCCCAAAAUGGUUUGGAAUUUGAAACAAAGGAGGCGGCAUAUUCUUUCUACAGAGAAUAUGCUCGAUCUGUAGGAUUUGGCAUCACAAUAAAAGCCAGUCGACGAUCUAAAAAAUCUGGAAAAUUUAUUGAUGUAAAAAUUGCAUGUUCUAGAUUUGGAAGCAAGCGCGAGUCAAGUGCAACUGUCAAUCCACGAUCAUGCAUAAAGACAGAUUGCAAAGCAGGCAUGCACAUGAAGAGAACGCAGGAAGAAAAGUGGAUUAUAUAUAGUUUCAUAAGGGAGCAUAACCAUGAGAUUUGUCCAGAUGAUUUUUAUAAUUCCAUUCAGGGACGAAAUAAGCAAUCUGGUGUAAUUGCAUGCCAAAAGAAAGGGCUGCAGUUGGCUUUAGAUGAGGACGAUAUACAAGUCAUGCUUGAGCAUUUUAUGUGCAUGCAGGCGCAAAAUCAUAAUUUCUUUUAUUCAUUAGAUAUUGACCAUGAAAAACGUUUGAGAAAUGUGUUCUGGAUUGAUGCGAAAGGCAGGCAUGAUUACAAUUUUUUCUGUGAUGUUGUUUUCUUUGAUACCUUUUAUGUUAGAAGCAAAUAUAAGGUUCCUUAUGCUCCCAUUAUUGGAGUCAACCACCACUUUCAAUACAUUUUACUUGGAUGUGCAUUGAUUGGAGAGCAGACUACAUCGACUUUCAUUUGGUUAAUGCAGACAUGGCGUAAAGCAGUGGGUGGUCAAGCUCCUAAAGUAAUUAUUACUGAGCAAGAGAAAUGCUUAAAUGAAGCUGUUUCAAGUGUGUUUCCUGAUACAUGCCACUGUUUUUGUUUAUGGCAUAUAUUGAGUAAGAUGCCUGAAAAUUUGUCUUGUGUUGCAAAUGAAGGUGAAACUUUUAUGGCCAAAUUCAAUAAAUGCAUUUAUAGGUCUUGGACAGAUGAGCAAUUUGAAAAGAGAUGGUGGAAAUUAGUUGAUAAGUUUGAACUACAGGAUAACGAAUGGGUUCACUCAUUAUUUCAAGAUCGUAAACGAUGGGUUCCAACAUAUAUGCAAGAUACAUUUUUAGCUGGAAUGUCUACAACUGAGCGAUAUGGAAGUAUAGCCUCUUUCUUUGACAGGUAUAUUCACAGGGAAAGUACAUUCAAGGAGUUUAUGGAGCAGUAUACAAUAUUUUUGGAAGACUGGAUUGAAAUGGAAGCCAAAGCUGAUUUUGUAACACAAAACAAACAACCUGCAUUAAGAUCUCACUCGUCAUUUGAGAAACAAAUGUUGGGAGUCUAUACAGAUGCAGUAUUUAAGAAAUUUCAGGUUGAGGUUUUGGGAGCAGUUUCAUGUCAGCUUCAGAAGGAAAGUGAAGAUGGGGCAACUUGUAACUUCCAAGUUGACGAUUUUGAAGAACGACAUAACUUUCUUGUAAUGUGGAAUGAAGCAGCGUCAGAUAUUCAUUGUUCAUGUCGUUCAUUUGAAUAUAGAGGUUUUCUUUGUAAACAUGCAAUCCUUGUUCUUCAGAUGUCUGGUGUUUCCAACAUACCAUCCCCCUAUAUAUUAAAAAGAUGGACAAAAGAUGCAAAGAUCACUCAAAGUGUUAGCGAAAUAUCUAAUGGUCUUCCUUAUAGGGUACAACGUUUCAAUGAUUUAUGUAAGCGAGCCAUCAAACUGUGUGAAGCGGGGUCUUUAUGUGAAGAAGCUUAUCAUAUUGCAUUCCAGGCAUUAGAAGAAGUCUUGAGAAGUUGUGUAAGUGUCAACAAUUCUGUUAGAAGUGCUUCAGAACCCAAUUCAUUGGCCGUUCAUGGUUUUCUUAACAUUGAAGAAGAGAAUCGUAGCAGCAAUAUGUCCAAAUCAUCUAAGAAAAAGAAAAUUUAUAAGAAGAAAAAGGUACUUUCUGAGCCAGAAGGGAUAACGGUUGGUUUACAAGACAGCUACCAGCAAUUGGAACAGAUUAACUCCCGAGCGCACACCACUGAAAAUUGCUAUGUUCCACAACAGGACAUGCAAGAUAUGGAAUUGGGCUCCAGGGCACAAACCCUUGAUGGUUUCUAUGGUCCUCAACAUGGCAUGCAAGGCACGGGACAACUGAACUCAAUAUCUCCAAUGCGUGAUGGUUAUCAUCAAGGCUUACCAGGCAUGGGGCAGUUACAUUCAAUAUUGACAUGUGUUAGUUCCUAUGGGGCACAACAAAGCAUGCAGGCACUGGUAUUAGCUUUCAUAAUUAUUCCUGUUCUAUCGAGCCUUGAUUUUAUUUUGCAGCAUAAGUGGCAUAUCCUGGUAUGGGUUUUUUGGUGAUUGCAGGGCCAGCUAGGCUUUAGAGUACCAACUGUGCAGGGCUGUUUUCACAUACAGAGUAAUUUGCAAGAUAUGGUAUCCAUUUAAAAAAUGAUUACAUAAACCCAUAUUUAUAGUUUUAUUUCCCUUUCCCAUUUUUGGUGUUGCAUAAUGCAAUUAUAAACCUUGCAGGAACAGCCUGUUGGCUCCACACAGUAUCACAGAGUGGCACCAAAGCAUCUAAAUGAUAAGCGUCAUUCACAUUAACUCAAAUACUGAUACUUCUCCAAUCUCAGUGUAAAAGUAUAUAUAAUAUAAUCAUCCUCUAAUGCUUUGGUUGCAAUUUUUUGUUUUCCUCUAUGACAGAUGCUCUCCCACGAUUGGAGAAAGCUCCACGUAUGUAAUUUAGAUUUAUUACUUAUUUGCUGGUAAAGUUAGUUGUACCAUUUUCAAAACAGAAAGGGACGGGAUCACGGAGGGGCUAUAUAUUAUAAGAAAUAAGCCAGCGAGAAGGCAUGAACUUUUCUGUGCUUAGAGGAAAUUCAUGUUAUCAAUCGGUUCAGUUCGGUUAAUUUUCUAAUAAGCUUUUCUAGAUUCACUUUGAGCUUCCCAUAACUUCUCAGCUCAUUGGAAGUGUUUUUCAAUUUGAAUUUUAAUAUUUAAUAUUCAUGUGUGAUUUCUGAUCAUGAUGUUUGGGUUGAGAUAAGGAAAUAUAGAACUGGCUAUUUUUGUGGGGAGAUGUUGAGGGUGAGU